RNAcentral lists this ribosomal RNA (520 nucleotides) under uncultured Glomus. RNAcentral describes it as "SSU rRNA". It matches the Rfam family "Eukaryotic small subunit ribosomal RNA", at positions 569 to 1092 of the family's 1831-position model. The record is from RNAcentral. Lineage: Eukaryota; Fungi; Glomeromycota; Glomeromycetes; Glomerales; Glomeraceae.
AGCAGCCGCGGUAAUUCCAGCUCCAAUAGCGUAUAUUAAAGUUGUCGCAGUUAAAAAGCUCGUAGUUGAAUUUCGGGAUUAAUAUGUUGGUCGUGCCUUGGUACGUACUGGCAUUAUUGAUUCCUACCUUCUGAAGAACCUCGAUGUCAUUAAUUUGGUGUCUUGGGGAAUCAGGACUGUUACUUUGAAAAAAUUAGAGUGUUUAAAGCAGGCUCGCGCUUGAAUACAUUAGCAUGGAAUAAUGAAAUAGGACGUUUGAUUCUAUUUUGUUGGUUUCUAGGAUCGACGUAAUGAUUAAUAGGGAUAGUUGGGGGCAUUAGUAUUCAAUUGUCAGAGGUGAAAUUCUUGGAUUUAUUGAAGACUAACUACUGCGAAAGCAUUUGCCAAGGAUGUUUUCAUUAAUCAAGAACGAAAGUUAGGGGAUCGAAGACGAUCAGAUACCGUCGUAGUCUUAACCAUAAACUAUGCCGACUAGGGAUCGGAUGAUGUUAAUUUUUAAUGACUCAUUCGGCGCCUUAAC